UCUGACGGAGCAACGCCGCGUGAACGAUGAAGGCUUUCGGGUCGUAAAGUUCUGUUGUCAGGGAAGAACAAGUACCGGAGUAACUGCCGGUACCUUGACGGUACCUGACCAGAAAGCCCCGGCUAAAUACGUGCCAGCAGCCGCGGUAAUACGUAGGUGGCAAGCGUUGUCCGGAAUUAUUGGGCGUAAAGCGCGCGCAGGCGGUUCCUUAAGUCUGAUGUGAAAGCCCCCGGCUCAACCCGGGAGGGUCAUUGGAAACUGGGGAACUUGAGUGCAGAAGAGGAGAGCGGAAUUCCACGUGUAGCGGUGAAAUGCGUAGAGAUGUGGAGGAACACCAGUGGCGAAGGCGGCUCUCUGGUCUGUAACUGACGCUGAGGCGCGAAAGCGUGGGGAGCAAACAGGAUUAGAUACCCCGGUAGUCCACGCCGUAAACGAUGAGUGCUAAGUGUUAGAGGGUUU
RNAcentral lists this ribosomal RNA (459 nucleotides) under uncultured bacterium. Its description in RNAcentral is "bacterial SSU rRNA". It matches the Rfam family "Bacterial small subunit ribosomal RNA", at positions 382 to 833 of the family's 1533-position model. The record is from RNAcentral.